UGACGUUAGCGGCGGACGGGUGAGUAACACGUGGGUAACCUACCUAUAAGACUGGGAUAACUUCGGGAAACCGGAGCUAAUACCGGAUAAUAUUUUGAACCGCAUGGUUCAAAAGUGAAAGAUGGCUCUGCUAUCACUUAUAGAUGGACCCGCGCCGUAUUAGCUAGUUGGUAAGGUAACGGCUUACCAAGGCGACGAUACGUAGCCGACCUGAGAGGGUGAUCGGCCACACUGGAACUGAGACACGGUCCAGACUCCUACGGGAGGCAGCAGUAGGGAAUCUUCCGCAAUGGGCGAAAGCCUGACGGAGCAACGCCGCGUGAGUGAUGAAGGUCUUCGGAUCGUAAAACUCUGUUAUUAGGGAAGAACAUACG
The sequence is a ribosomal RNA, 374 nucleotides long. It matches the Rfam family "Bacterial small subunit ribosomal RNA", at positions 87 to 455 of the family's 1533-position model.